UACGUAGGGGGCUAGCGUUGUCCGGAAUCAUUGGGCGUAAAGAGCGCGUAGGCGGUCCGGUAAGUCCGCUGUGAAAGUCGGGGGCUCAACCCUCGAAUGCCGGUGGAUACUGUCGGGCUAGAGUGCGGAAGAGGCGAGUGGAAUUCCUGGUGUAGCGGUGAAAUGCGCAGAUAUCAGGAGGAACACCUAUUGCGAAGGCAGCUCGCUGGGACGUAACUGACGCUGAGACGCGAAAGCGUGGGGAGCAAACAGG
Molecule: ribosomal RNA, 253 nt
Filed under: uncultured bacterium
Lineage: Bacteria
Description: partial 16S ribosomal RNA
Rfam family: Bacterial small subunit ribosomal RNA
Source: RNAcentral